This 583-nucleotide ribosomal RNA is filed under the name Fusarium decemcellulare. RNAcentral describes it as "eukaryotic LSU rRNA". It matches the Rfam family "Eukaryotic large subunit ribosomal RNA", at positions 50 to 656 of the family's 3401-position model. The record is from RNAcentral. Lineage: Eukaryota; Fungi; Ascomycota; Sordariomycetes; Hypocreales; Nectriaceae.
GCGGAGGAAAAGAAACCAACAGGGAUUGCCCUAGUAACGGCGAGUGAAGCGGCAACAGCUCAAAUUUGAAAUCUGGCUCUCGGGCCCGAGUUGUAAUUUGUAGAGGAUGCUUUUGGUGCGGUGCCUUCCGAGUGCCCUGGAACGGGACGCCAUAGAGGGUGAGAGCCCCGUCUGGUUGGAUGCCAAUCCUCUGUAAAGCUCCUUCGACGAGUCGAGUAGUUUGGGAAUGCUGCUCUAAAUGGGAGGUAUAUGUCUUCUAAAGCUAAAUACCGGCCAGAGACCGAUAGCGCACAAGUAGAGUGAUCGAAAGAUGAAAAGCACUUUGAAAAGAGAGUUAAAAAGUACGUGAAAUUGUUGAAAGGGAAGCGUUUAUGACCAGACUUGGGCUUGGUUAAUCAUCCAGGGUUCUCCCUGGUGCACUUUUCCAGUCCAGGCCAGCAUCAGUUUGCUUCGGGGGAUAAAGGCUUCGGGAAUGUGGCUCUCUCCGGGGAGUGUUAUAGCCCGUUGCGUAAUACCCUGGGGCGGACUGAGGUACGCGCUUCUGCAAGGAUGCUGGCGUAAUGGUCAUCAACGACCCGUCUUG